UACGAAGGGGGCUAGCGUUGCUCGGAAUUACUGGGCGUAAAGGGCGCGUAGGCGGAUAGUUUAGUCAGAGGUGAAAGCCCAGGGCUCAACCUUGGAACUGCCUUUGAUACUGGCUAUCUUGAGUUCGGGAGAGGUGAGUGGAAUGCCGAGUGUAGAGGUGAAAUUCGUAGAUAUUCGGCGGAACACCAGUGGCGAAGGCGACUCACUGGCCCGAUACUGACGCUGAGGCGCGAAAGCGUGGGGAGCAAACAGGG
Molecule: ribosomal RNA, 254 nt
Filed under: uncultured bacterium
Lineage: Bacteria
Description: partial 16S ribosomal RNA
Rfam family: Bacterial small subunit ribosomal RNA
Source: RNAcentral